Molecule: ribosomal RNA, 304 nt
Filed under: uncultured bacterium
Lineage: Bacteria
Description: bacterial SSU rRNA
Rfam family: Bacterial small subunit ribosomal RNA
Source: RNAcentral
AUUGAACGCUGGCGGCAUGCCUUACACAUGCAAGUCGAACGGCAGCACGGGAGCAAUCCUGGUGGCGAGUGGCGAACGGGUGAGUAAUAUAUCGGAACGUGCCCAGUCGUGGGGGAUAACGCAGCGAAAGCUGUGCUAAUACCGCAUACGAUCUAUGGAUGAAAGCGGGGGAUCGCAAGACCUCGCGCGAUUGGAGCGGCCGAUAUCAGAUUAGCUAGUUGGUGGGGUAAAAGCCUACCAAGGCGACGAUCUGUAGCUGGUCUGAGAGGACGACCAGCCACACUGGAACUGAGGCACGGUCCAU